RNAcentral lists this ribosomal RNA (271 nucleotides) under uncultured Bacillota bacterium. RNAcentral's name for it is "uncultured Firmicutes bacterium partial 16S ribosomal RNA". It matches the Rfam family "Bacterial small subunit ribosomal RNA", at positions 75 to 339 of the family's 1533-position model. Lineage: Bacteria; Bacillati; Bacillota. The record is from RNAcentral.
AAAGCUUGCUUUUCUGAAUCUAGUGGCGAACGGGUGAGUAACACGUAGGUAACCUGCCCAUGUGCCCGGGAUAACUUCUGGAAACGGAUGCUAAAACCGGAUAGGUAGCAGACAAGCAUUUGACUGCUAUUAAAGUGGCUUUGGCCAUGAACAUGGAUGGACCUGCGGUGCAUUAGCUGGUUGGUGAGGUAACGGCCCACCAAGGCGACGAUGCAUAGCCGGCCUGAGAGGGCGGACGGCCACAUUGGGACUGAGACACGGCCCAAACUCC